UGGGGAAUAUUGCACAAUGGAGGAAACUCUGAUGCAGCGACGCCGCGUGAGUGAAGAAGUAGUUCGCUAUGUAAAGCUCUAUCAGCAGGGAAGAUAGUGACGGUACCUGACUAAGAAGCUCCGGCUAAAUACGUGCCAGCAGCCGCGGUAAUACGUAUGGAGCAAGCGUUAUCCGGAUUUACUGGGUGUAAAGGGAGUGUAGGUGGCCAUGCAAGUCAGAAGUGAAAAUCCGGGGCUCAACCCCGGAACUGCUUUUGAAACUGUAAGGCUGGAGUGCAGGAGGGGUGAGUGGAAUUCCUAGUGUAGCGGUGAAAUGCGUAGAUAUUAGGAGGAACACCAGUGGCGAAGGCGGCUCACUGGACUGUAACUGACACUGAGGCUCGAAAGCGUGGGGAGCAAACAGGAUUAGAUACCCUGGUAGU
RNAcentral lists this ribosomal RNA (422 nucleotides) under uncultured Lachnospiraceae bacterium. Its description in RNAcentral is "bacterial SSU rRNA". It matches the Rfam family "Bacterial small subunit ribosomal RNA", at positions 355 to 794 of the family's 1533-position model. Lineage: Bacteria; Bacillati; Bacillota; Clostridia; Lachnospirales; Lachnospiraceae. The record is from RNAcentral.